ACGUAGGGCGCAAGCGUUGUCCGGAAUUACUGGGCGUAAAGAGCGCGCAGGCGGUCGUGCAAGUCGCGUGUGAAAGCCCCCGGCUCAACUGGGGAGGGUCACGCGAUACUGCUCGACUCGAAGGCAGGAGAGGGAAGUGGAAUUCCCGGUGUAGUGGUGAAAUGCGUAGAUAUCGGGAGGAACACCAGUGGCGAAGGCGGCUCACUGGACCGGUACUGACGCUGAUGCGCGAAAGCGUGGGGAGCAAACGGGA
RNAcentral lists this ribosomal RNA (253 nucleotides) under uncultured prokaryote. RNAcentral's name for it is "partial 16S ribosomal RNA". It matches the Rfam family "Bacterial small subunit ribosomal RNA", at positions 525 to 777 of the family's 1533-position model. The record is from RNAcentral.